GACGAACGCUGGCGGCGUGCUUAACACAUGCAAGUCGAACGGCAACGCCCUGCUUGCAUGGUCCUCGAGUGGCGAACGGGUGAGUAACACGUGGGUGCUCUGCCCUGCACUUCGGGAUAAGCGUGAGAAACUGGGUCUAAUACCUGAUAGGAGCUAUCUUUAGCGUGGUGGUUGGAGAGUUCUUUCGGUGUAGGAUGAGCUGGCGGCCUAUCAUCUUGUUAGUGGGGUGGUGGCCUACCAAGGCGGCGACGGGUAGCAGGCCUGAGAGUGUGUACGGCCACAUUGGGACUGAGAUACGGCCCAGACUCCGGAGGGAGGCAGCAGGGGGGAAUAUUGCACAAUGGGCGCCAGCCUGAUGCAGCGAGGCCGCGUGGGGGAUGAAGGCUUUCGGGUUGUAAACACCUUUCGCUAGGGACGAAGCUUUUUUGUGACGGUACCUAGAUAAGAAGCACCGGCUAACUACGUG
This 466-nucleotide ribosomal RNA is filed under the name uncultured bacterium. RNAcentral describes it as "partial 16S ribosomal RNA". It matches the Rfam family "Bacterial small subunit ribosomal RNA", at positions 28 to 507 of the family's 1533-position model. The record is from RNAcentral.